RNAcentral lists this unclassified non-coding RNA (338 nucleotides) under soil metagenome. RNAcentral describes it as "partial contains 5.8S ribosomal RNA, internal transcribed spacer 2, and large subunit ribosomal RNA". The stretch from base 1 to 120 matches the Rfam family "5.8S ribosomal RNA", at positions 35 to 154 of the family's 154-position model. The record is from RNAcentral.
GAUGAAGAACGUAGCGAAAUGCGAUAAGUAAUGUGAAUUGCAGAAUUCAGUGAAUCAUCGAAUCUUUGAACGCACAUUGCGCCCGGUAGUAUUCUGCCGGGCAUGCCUGUUCGAGCGUCAUUUCAACCAUCAAGCCCCAGCGCUUGUGUUGGGGGCCUGCGGCUGCCGCAGCCCCCUAAAAGCAGUGGCGCGCUCGCUAUCACACCGAGUGCAGUAGUUCAUCUUCUCUCCGGUCUUGUGAGGCGGGUUCCGGCCGUGAAACACCCCACUACAUUCAAGGUUGACCUCGGAUCAGGUAGGAAUACCCGCUGAACUUAAGCAUAUCAAUAAGCGGAGGA